GACGAACGCUGGCGGCGUGCUUAACACAUGCAAGUCGAACGAAGAGCGAUGGAAGCUUGCUUCCAUCAAUCUUAGUGGCGAACGGGUGAGUAACGCGUAAUCAACCUGCCCUUCAGAGGGGGACAACAGUUGGAAACGACUGCUAAUACCGCAUACGAUCUAACCUUGGCAUCGAGGAUGGAUGAAAGGUGGCCUCUAUUUAUAAGCUAUCACUGAAGGAGGGGGUUGCGUCUGAUUAGCUAGUUGGAGGGGUAACGGCCCACCAAGGCGAUGAUCAGUAGCCGGUCUGAGAGGAUGAACGGCCACAUUGGGACUGAGACACGGCCCAGACUCCUACGGGAGGCAGCAGUGGGGAAUCUUCCGCAAUGGACGAAAGUCUGACGGAGCAACGCCGCGUGAGUGAUGACGGCCUUCGGGUUGUAAAGCUCUGUUAAUCGGGACGAAAGGCCUUCUUGCGAAUAGUUAGAAGGAU
RNAcentral lists this ribosomal RNA (472 nucleotides) under Veillonella dispar. RNAcentral's name for it is "bacterial SSU rRNA". It matches the Rfam family "Bacterial small subunit ribosomal RNA", at positions 28 to 477 of the family's 1533-position model. Lineage: Bacteria; Bacillati; Bacillota; Negativicutes; Veillonellales; Veillonellaceae. The record is from RNAcentral.